AAAAACUUGCUGGUUUUACGGCUCAGGGGGCAUCACGGAACCUGCCGACAUGUGAUGUCUCCCCCGGACACCCAGCUUUAAAAUUUCUCUCUUGUACUCUUUCCCUUUAUUUCUAGACCGGCCAACACUUAGAGAAAUAGAAAAGAACCUAUGUGAAAUAUCGGGGGCUGGUUUCCCCUGAUAGUGAAGGAGACAGGUUAGAUACACUGGAGCUUCCACACAGGAGAGAGGGAAGGAGCUGGAGAAGAAGGUGAGUUGGAAGAUUUGGGGGUUUUGUUUUUAAGUGAGAGAGCUUUGAAUAGGUUUAAUGCUGAUGGUGGGGAUCCAGUUAAGAGAAACACUGAAAAUUAACUAGAGGGAAAGGUAACUGACAGUAUAGAGUUCCUAAGAACCCAAGCAGUAAAUUCUAGCCUAGCUGGGGGUGGAGUGUGAAGAAGUGAAGAACCUUUUUUAUUUUUUUUUUAAUGGGCUGGGUGUGAAGCUACAUUUGUAGUUUUGUGGCAGGAAGUUCCCUUACUGUAACUUCUAUAUUUUCUGUGAAGCAGAAGACAAGAACUCUGUUCAAAGUUAGGGAGAUGAUAGAUUGAGGGCUAGAAGAGUAAGGCAGGCUUGAAACAAUCAUUGUCACGAAUGGGAGUUGACCAGAGAUUAGUAACGUUGCUGGGCCAUGUGUAGGGGCCCAUUUGAAACCAGCGAUUACAAAUGUGCAGUGGUUCCAGGCCGUGCGGCUGUGUGAAUCUACCUGAUGACCCUCGGCUGCUUGGGUACUGCCAUGGAUAGCGCAUGUGUUGGCUUUGUCCAGCUUUGGGCUUUUUCCCACAUUGAUUUUAAAAAGACAGGAGCCACAGAUUUUGGAGUACUGCAAAAUGACUUUCCAAAUUGAUGAACCAUGGACUCCAAGCUGGAUAGACACAGAAAUGAAAAGAAGGGACUAAUAGGGAAUAAGACGUGUGAUCCAUGGCCCGAUGGCCCUGAUGGACGUGAAGAUCCACUGUUGUGGGAGGAGUGGAACACUAACACUGAAUGAUGGAGGCUGUGGUCAGAAACAGGAUCACGCCUGAAGAAAUGCUGCUGAUGUCUAUGUCACAGUCCUUUCUGUCUUACCCAUGAACCAAGUGAGAAGACAGCAUUGGCCAGCAGUUUUUACUAUUUCUCUUUAACUCACGUUUGGACUUUAAACUUCCAUCUGCCUCUCUCUCCUACUUUCACGGUGUCUGGAAUGUUUUCUCAAUGCCAACAAUCAAUUCUCUGAUUCUCCAGACACCAGCUGGAUGUCCUACAUUCAAUUCUAACACUAUCUACCUGGAGUUAGCACAGACCUCACAGGUUAAGGGUUCAUUCCCACAAGACCCCCACAACUUCAGAUGUUGGUUGCAAGGCCUGGCUGCCUGCACUUCUGACCCACUGGCUAUAAUUCAGGGGUUCCUGCUGGAACUGUAAUAGGUCCAUCACCAUCACCCAAUGCAGGCAUUAAGUCAGUACACCGAGACACCCGGUUGCGCAGAGAAAGAGGUAUUAUCGUGGAGCCACCAAACAACAAGACAGGAGGAAACCUUCAAAUCCAUCUCCCCAAGGAGUUUGGGGCUCGGGCUUUUUUUUUUUUUUUUUGAGACGGAGUCUCGCUCUGUCGCCAGGCUGGAGUCCAGUGGUGUGAUCUCAGCUCACUGCAACCUCCGCCACCCAGGUUCAAGCGAUUCUCCUGCCUCAGCCUCCUGAGUAGCUGGGAUUACAGGCGCCCACCACCACACCUGGCUAAUAUUUGUAUUUUUAGUAGAGACAGGAUUUCCACCAUGUUGGCCAGGAUGGUCUUGAUCUCCUCACCUUGUAAUCCACCCCGCCCGCCUUGGCCUCCCAAAGUGCUGGGAUUAUAGGCCUGAGUCGCCACGUCCAGCCUGGGCUUGGGCUUUUAAGGGUUUUGGAGUGGGCGGAAGUGUGGAGAUGGUGGAUUGGCUGAAUAGUGCGGUGUGAAGUCAUGGGACAGGAAGAUGAAGAAGCUGUAUUCUCACACUGAUUUGGUUCCUCUGUGGGGGUCUUCAAAGCGGUUGGUUGCAGCUGCUUCACUGGAAUUCAGGGUCUCAGAAAAACAUCUUAAGCAUCCUCAAACAAAAGUCUUAUGAUUCUAAUGUCAGAGAUGCUGUCUAUAGGAAUAAUGGGAAUGCAAAUGGUCGGUGUCAGGUGCUACGAGACUUUAAGCAAUGAGGAAGGGGCCAGAGAGCAGCCUGAUAGAUGCUGAAUUAUAACCGUGUUUCAUUCUUGUCAAUGCUGUGGGGAUGCCUUCCUCACAACUUCCUCCUCAGGUUUCAUAACAUGUUAGAAUCAGUCACAGAACUCAGGAACACACUUUACUUACAUGUGCAAACUUAAAUAAUACAACUAAGGAACAGCCAGAUGGAAGAGAGGCAUAGGACCAGGCGUCGGGGAGGGGCACGAGCAGCCCUGCCACAUUCCGGGCACCAGCCUUCCAACACCGAUGUAUUCACCAGCCUGGAGUUUCUAUACAGCUCAAUCUCCAGCUUCCCCUUUCCCUUGCAUGAGGCAAAGGUCAGGGACAGAGUGAAAGUUCCAACCUUUUAAACAUUAGUCUUUCUGAUGACCAGCCGCAUCCUGAGUAUCUAGGGGCCACACGCUAGAUCACCUAAUUAGCAUAAACACAGGUGUGAUCAAAAGGAAUUCAUUAUGAAUAACAAGACUCCCAUCAGGCCUGGCGUGGUGGCUCACACCUGUAAUUCCAGCACUUUGGGAGGCUGAGGCGGGUGAAUCACUUGAGGUCACGAGUUCCAAGACCAGCCUGGCCAACACAGUGAAACCUCAUCUCUACUAAAGAUACAAAAAUAAAUUAGCCAGGCAUUGUGGCAGGCACCUGUAAUCCCAGCUACUCAGGAGGCUGAGGCAGGAGAAUCGCUUGAACCUGGGAGGCAGAGGUUGCAGUGAGCCGAGGUCACGCCAUUGCACUCCAGCCUGGGUGACAGAGCAAGACUCUGUCUCAAAAAAAAAAAAGACUCCCAUCACUCAGGCAAUGCCAAGGGUUUAGGGAACUCUGUGCCAGGAACAGGGACAAAAACCAGAUACAUAUAUAUAUAUAUACUUUUUAAAAAUAUAAUUUCAACUUUUAUUUUAGAUUUGGGGGCAUAUGUGCAGGUUUGUCUCAUGGGUAUAUGGCAUAAUGCUGAGGUUUGGUGUAUGACUGAUUCUGUCACCCAGAUAGUGAGCAUAGUUCCCAACAGUUAGUUUUUCAACCCUCGCCCACUCCCUCUCUCCUCCCGCUAGGAGUCCCCCAGUGGUGUUUUUGCCAUCUUUAUGUCCACGAGUACCCAAUGUUUAGCUCACACUUAUCAGUGAGAACACGCCAUAUUUGAUUUUUCUCUUCCUGCAUUAAUUUGCUUAAGAUAAUGACCAAAUCUAUUUCUUAUUAUACCACAGAUAUAUAUAUAAAUCCUGUAGCUAAGGACUCAUCUUUGUACCGGUAGGCAGUAUUUACAAUGCACGCAUCAAGUCAGUACACCAAGACAACUGGUUGCAGCAGAGAAAGAGGUUUAAUCAUAGGGCCACCAAACAAGAAGACAGGAGGAAACCUCAAAUCCAUCUCCCCAGAAAGUUUGAGAUUAGGGAUUUUUUUUCAGUAGCUGAAUAUAACUGGCCAGUGCAGAAGAGCCUAUGAAGGUGGAAAAUGGAGGAAGGAGGACCCCAUGCUGGAGAAGUGAUGGAGAUUUGAAGCCUUGGAAGAUGGCGGCAAGGGAGAUGCCAGAGAUGAGACAAUGUUAAACAUCUGUAAUCUAACAGUCUUCUAUGGGAGUUUAUUACAUUUCCAUAUCCUAUGUUCACUUCUAGUGAAAAAUAAAAAUAAAAUCUUAAGCCCCCCACAGCUGACUAAAUGGAUCCCAUUGUGAAAGGAAAAUAUCUUGAGCCUCCAAAAUCACUAAGGAAAAUUCAAGCUGGAAACUUCUUAGGACAAACCUGCCUCCCAUUCUCUUCAAAGUUAUUCCUCUGCUCGAGGAGCUAGAUGCAUAUCUGAUUGCCGCCUUUGGAAAGGCUAACCAGAAACUCAAAAGAAUGAUACAGUUUGUUAUCACCUACCUGUGACCUGGAAGCUCCCUCCCUCCCCACUUGAGUCUUCCUGCUUUUGUUUCAAGCUGUCCUGCCUUUCCAGACCAAACCAAUGUACUUCUUACGUAUAUUGAUUGAUGUCUCACUCAUGUCUCCCUAAAUCGUAUAAAACCAAGCUGUGCCCCAACUACCCUGGGCAUGUGUCAUCAGGAUUUCAUGAAGCUGUGUCACGGGCGCAUUCCCCAACCUUGAAAAAAUAAACUUUCUAAAUUAACUGAGACCUGUCUCAGAUUUUCUGGGUUCACAUUGUUUUCGUCAAGGGGACUCCCCAAGUAACUUUGAAAACUGAGUUCUAGGCUGUGAGGGGAUGGGAGGUCAGAGGUCAGACGCACCUUGCUGCACACCUCCACCUCGCUAACCCCCUUAGGCUUUCUUCCCUAGGGGCUAAACAGAAACCAGCUCUUUCCUUUUUUUUUUUUCUUUUUUUUUAGAGACGAGUCUUGCUCUGUCACCCAGGCUGGAGUGCAGUGGUUCGAUUUUGGCUCACUGCAACCACCACCUCCCAGGUUCAAGCAAUUCUCCUGCCUCAGCUUCCCAAGUAACUGCAACUACAAGCACAUGCCACCAUGCCCGGCUAAUUUCUUUUGUAUUUUUAGUAGAGAUGGGGUUUCACCAUGUUGCCCGGGCUGGUCUUGAACUCCUGAGCUCAGGCAAUCUGUCCGCCUCAGCCUCCCAAAGUGCUAGGAUUACAGGCAUGAGCCACUGCACCCAGCCAAAACCAGCUCUUUCAAAAGACUCCAGUGCUGAUAUCAACAACUGCCUGAGGCUUCCCCACCCUUUUGCAGUUUCCACAUAACAAUUAACCAGCAUUCCCUCCUGAUAAGAGACAACACCCCGCCCGCCGACGCAGAGCGGUUCUGGCCAGUCUUCAGAGGCUGCACACAGAGAGCCUGCGUGUCCCUGCUUUGUCUUUCGAUGUAAAAGGCCUAACUGUCAUGCAUUGAAAUGUGAAGUCUCCAGCCCAAAGUGAACAUGGGACACAUGCUGCAUGCAUGUUAGCCUGCUACACAUGCAUGAUCCUCUUCAUGAAUAUUCAUAGCUCCUCCUGUAAUCUGUUGAAUAUGUAUACUUAGCCAAC
This 5182-nucleotide long non-coding RNA is filed under the name Homo sapiens (human). RNAcentral's name for it is "PREDICTED lncRNA (TCONS_00209553)". The record is from RNAcentral. Lineage: Eukaryota; Metazoa; Chordata; Mammalia; Primates; Hominidae.